GUUAAGUCCCGCAACGAGCGCAACCCUUGUCCUAUGUUGCCAGCGGUUCGGCCGGGGACUCAUAGGAGACUGCCGGGGAUAACUCGGAGGAAGGUGAGGACGACGUCAAGUCAUCAUGCCCCUUAUAUCCAGGGCUGCACGCAUGCUACAAUGGCCGGUACAACGGGCAGCGACCCCGCGAGGGUGAGCGAAUCCUAUAAAGCCGGUCCUAGUUCGGAUUGAAGUCUGCAACUCGACUUCAUGAAGCCGGAGUCGCUAGUAAUCGCGGAUCAGCAAAGCCGCGGUGAAUACGUUCUCGGGGAUUGUACACACCGCCCGUCAAGUCACGGAAGUCGGCAACACCCAAAGUCAGUGGCCUAACCAUUUGGAGGGAGCUGCCUAAGGUGGGGUCGGUAACUGGGACU
This 404-nucleotide ribosomal RNA is filed under the name uncultured bacterium. RNAcentral describes it as "bacterial SSU rRNA". It matches the Rfam family "Bacterial small subunit ribosomal RNA", at positions 1079 to 1482 of the family's 1533-position model. The record is from RNAcentral.